AGAGUUUGAUCAUGGCUCAGAACGAACGCUGGCGGCGUGGAUAAGACAUGCAAGUCGAACGCUAAUUAGAGGGUAGCAAUAUUCUCUGGUUGGAGUGGCGCAAGGGUGCGUAACACGUGGGUAAUCUGCCGUGAAGCCUGGGAUAACUCGCUGAAAGGCGAGCUAAUACCGGAUGUGAUUGCUGGGGAGCAUUUUCUGGCAAUGGAAGCUGGGGACCGAAAGGCCUGGCGCUUUACGAUGAGCCCGCGGCCUAUCAGCUAGUUGGUGAGGUAACGGCUCACCAAGGCUAAGACGGGUAGCUGGUCUGAGAGGACGACCAGCCACACUGGAACUGAGACACGGUCCAGACACCUACGGGUGGCAGCAGUCGAGAAUUUUUCACAAUGGGCGCAAGCCUGAUGGAGCGACGCCGCGUGGGGGAUGAAGGGUUUCGAUCCGUAAACCCCUGUCAUUUGCGAACAAACCUUGAUGGAUAACACCCAUCAAGCUGAUUGUAGCGGAAGAGGAAGGGACGGCUAACUCUGUGCCAGCAGCCGCGGUAAUACAGAGGUCCCAAGCGUUGUUCGGAUUCACUGGGCGUAAAGGGUGCGUAGGUGGCCAGGUAAGUUUGGUGUGAAAGCUCGGAGCUCAACUCCGAAAAGUCAUUGAAUACUAUCUGGCUGGAGGGUCGGAGGGGAGACUGGAAUUCUCGGUGUAGCAGUGAAAUGCGUAGAUAUCGAGAGGAACACCAGUGGCGAAGGCGAGUCUCUGGACGACUCCUGACACUGAGGCACGAAAGCUAGGGGAGCAAACAGGAUUAGAUACCCNNGUAGUCC
RNAcentral lists this ribosomal RNA (815 nucleotides) under uncultured bacterium. Its description in RNAcentral is "bacterial SSU rRNA". It matches the Rfam family "Bacterial small subunit ribosomal RNA", at positions 8 to 796 of the family's 1533-position model. The record is from RNAcentral.